GACGAACGCUGGCGGCGUGCUUAACACAUGCGAGUCGAACGGAAAGGCCCUGCUUUUGUGGGGUGCUCGAGUGGCGAACGGGUGAGUAACACGUGAGUAACCUGCCCUUGACUUUGGGAUAACUUCAGGAAACUGGGGCUAAUACCGGAUAGGAGCUCCUGCUGCAUGGUGGGGGUUGGAAAGUUUCGGCGGUUGGGGAUGGACUCGCGGCUUAUCCGCUUGUUGGUGGGGUAGUGGCUUACCAAGGCUUUGACGGGUAGCCGGCCUGAGAGGGUGACCGGCGUCAUUGGGACUGCGAUACGGCCCAGACUCCUACGGGAGGCAGCAGUGGGAAAUAUUGCACAAUGGGCGGAAGCCUGAUGCAGCAACGCCGCGUGCGGGAUGACGGCCUUCGGGUUGUAAACCGCUUUCGCCUGUGACGAAGCGUGAGUGACGGUAAUGGGUAAAGAAGCACCGGCUAACUACGUG
Molecule: ribosomal RNA, 468 nt
Filed under: uncultured bacterium
Lineage: Bacteria
Description: partial 16S ribosomal RNA
Rfam family: Bacterial small subunit ribosomal RNA
Source: RNAcentral